AACCUCCGCAAUGUGAGAAAUCGCGACGGGGGGACCCCAAGUGCCACUUUAACGGGGUGGCUUUUAUGAAGUGCUUCAAGAUAAGGGCUGGCAAGACCGGUGCCAGCCGCCGCGGUAACACCGGCAGCUCAAGUGGUGGCCGUUUUUAUUGGGCCUAAAGCGUUCGUAGCCGGUUUGAUAAGUCUCUGGUGAAAUCCUAUAGCUUAACUGUGGGAAUGCUGGAGAUACUAUCAGGCUUGAGGUCGGGAGAGGUUAGCGGUACUCCCAGGGUAGGGGUGAAAUCCUGUAAUCCUGGGAGGACCACCUGUGGCGAAGGCGGCUAACUGGAACGACCUGACGAUGAGGGACGAAAGCCGGGGGCGCGAACCGGAUUAGAUACCCGGGUAGUCCUGGCCGUAAACG
RNAcentral lists this ribosomal RNA (402 nucleotides) under uncultured archaeon. RNAcentral's name for it is "bacterial SSU rRNA". It matches the Rfam family "Archaeal small subunit ribosomal RNA", at positions 345 to 759 of the family's 1478-position model. The record is from RNAcentral.